UACGUAGGGUGCGAGCGUUGUCCGGAAUUAUUGGGCGUAAAGAGCUCGUAGGCGGUGUGUCGCGUCGGCCGUGAAAACCUGGGGCUCAACUCUGGGCGUGCGGUCGAUACGGGCAUCACUUGAGCUCGGCAGGGGAGACUGGAAUUCCUGGUGUAGCGGUGAAAUGCGCAGAUAUCAGGAGGAACACCGGUGGCGAAGGCGGGUCUCUGGGCCGAUACUGACGCUGAGGAGCGAAAGCAUGGGUAGCGAACAGG
This 254-nucleotide ribosomal RNA is filed under the name uncultured bacterium. Its description in RNAcentral is "partial 16S ribosomal RNA". It matches the Rfam family "Bacterial small subunit ribosomal RNA", at positions 524 to 776 of the family's 1533-position model. The record is from RNAcentral.